RNAcentral lists this ribosomal RNA (492 nucleotides) under uncultured bacterium. Its description in RNAcentral is "partial 16S ribosomal RNA". It matches the Rfam family "Bacterial small subunit ribosomal RNA", at positions 29 to 507 of the family's 1533-position model. The record is from RNAcentral.
AGUGAACGCUGGCGGUAGGCCUAACACAUGCAAGUCGAACGACAGCACAGUAAGCGCUUGCCCUUACGGGUGGCGGGGGACGGACGGGUAAGACGUACAUAGGCUUCUUAUUUUUCUGGGGGAAUAUCGUGGGAAAGCUUCCGCUACUGCCGAAUACAACCAACGGCUGAAAUCAGGGGUGAUUGGCGCUUUUGCUGUUAGAUUGAGCCGAUGCCGGAUUAGCUAGUUGGGGUGGUAAGGGCACACCAAGGCGACGAUCCGUAGCCGGCCUGAGAGGGUGAUCAGCCACACUGGAACUGAGACACGGUCCAGACUCCUACGGGAGGCAGCAGUAGGGAAUAUUCGACAAUGGGCGCAAGCCUGAUGCAGCCAUGCCGCGUGAGUGAUGAAGGUCUUCGGGUUGUAAAGCUCUUUUAUUGGGGAAGAACAAAUGCAUAUGUAACUCCGGCCGUUUUGACGGUACCUAAAGAGAAAGCACCGGCUAACUUCGUG